This 885-nucleotide long non-coding RNA is filed under the name Ananas comosus (pineapple). RNAcentral's name for it is "long non-coding RNA (ACOM_LNC021933)". Lineage: Eukaryota; Viridiplantae; Streptophyta; Magnoliopsida; Poales; Bromeliaceae. The record is from RNAcentral.
AUUUUUAUUAUUUACAAAAAAAUAUAAAUAUUAUGAGUCCGGCUACAUACUAUACUAUCGAUAGUACCAAACACUUAGUGUUACCAAAUUUUCUUAGAUUUAAUUUUUUGACUAUUUUCAUCUUUAGAUUAUAUUAUUCAACCAAUAAUUUACUCAUCUCUAGUAGGCCCACAUCAACCUAACCGUAUAUUUUUUCAUCCAAAAACCGAAAAUCUAAAAGCACCGAUAGCUUGGUGCUAUUGAUAGUAUUCCAGUCUAGUUCAAAUAUUAUAUAAAAUUCAUAGAAAAUUUGAUUUAGUAAAAUGAGUUGAGCCUCUUGGCCUUUAAAAGUACAUAAGCAUUUAUAUUUAUAAUUUUUAGCCAUCGAAUUAUUUUAAGACCUGUAUAUCAUUUUUAACGGUAUGUUUCAAUAGGCCUUUUUUACUUGUGCUGAUGCUGUAAAAAUCUUGAGAUGAUAUGAUGGCUACAAAAUCAUAAGUACAUUGAGCUUUUAUGCUUUAAAUAAAAAAGCGCGGGAGCUCAAUCUCGAUAAAAAUAUAUUAAGCUUACCACAACCAUUACCUAUUAUAAUCUUAUGAUCUUAUUAUGAGACAACCGUUAUGCUCUAAAAGUUUAAUAUAUCUUUGUAUUUAAUAUUCUCGAGACUUUUUUUUGCAAGGCUCAUUACGUGAACUUAAAUUAGAUAGAAAAAAAUUAAUAAUACUAGGAGUCUGAUAUGACUCAAAUAUAGAAUCUCCUGUUCUAAUACUAUAUAAAAUAGCCGUUGUACUCAAAAACUUUAAACUGUUAGAAAAUAUGGUUUAUAUUUUUUUAUAUUUAACAGUUACUAUCUAACUUUUAAAACUUUUGAUUUUACUAUCUAAUCUUUUAAUUUAUUUGAUCCGA